Felis catus (domestic cat) is the source of this 85-nucleotide non-coding RNA. The record is from Rfam. Lineage: Eukaryota; Metazoa; Chordata; Mammalia; Carnivora; Felidae.
GCCUGGGUGGCUUGGUCGGUUAAGCGUCUGACUUCGGCUCAGGUCAUGAUCUCAUGGUCCGUGAGUUCGAGCCCCGCGUCGGGCU